RNAcentral lists this long non-coding RNA (1110 nucleotides) under Salvia miltiorrhiza (redroot sage). RNAcentral's name for it is "long non-coding RNA (SMIL_LNC013999)". The record is from RNAcentral. Lineage: Eukaryota; Viridiplantae; Streptophyta; Magnoliopsida; Lamiales; Lamiaceae.
AGAAAUCUAUUCUUAAUAGGUCUCUUAAAUCAAGUCACGGUAAAGUGCUUAACAUUCUAUGAUUCACUUAGCCGGGUUUUCAAAAUUUAAGGAAUAAAUAAUUGAAAACAAUUCUCUUGAGUUAAGAACACCAACAAUAUUCUUACUUAUCUUUCUCUUGUAAUUGGAAAUUAUAAAUAACCAAUUAAAUCAUGAUGCAAUGCAUGACUCAUUUCAUACAUAAAAAAAAUAGCACAAGUGCUCUACUCCGUUCUGCUCUGAUAUCUAGCUCUGCUCUGUGAUCUAGCUCUGCUCUGCAUUCUAGCUCUGUUGUGCAUUCUAGCUCUGCUGUUCAGCUCUGGCAUCCAGCUCUGACCUCCGAGCUCUGGCUCCCAGCUCUGGCUUUCCAGCUCUGGCCUUCCCAGCUCUGGCCUUCCCAGCUCUGGCCUUCCAGCUCUGGCAUUCCCAGCUUUGGACUCUCGCUACUCUGUUCAGCACUCAUCUCCCUACUUACCUCUUCAUCCCCAACCUCUGAACAUACGCCGACUCUCUCUUUCUCAGCCUACCAGUACAGCUCAUGCCGAUCACCUUCUUAGCAACGGCGAAGCGCCGUCACCUCCCUCUGUUUCCGGCAACCGCAGCAAGCCACGACCGCUACCCUCACUCUCCUCUACUCUCGACUUAUCCGCCCACACAGCCAACUCCACAAAACAACACACUCAAAACUCGAUUUACAGCAACAUAAAUCAAGACUCUACCUUUAUCCUUAUUCUUAUAACACCAACACCCAAUGUAUGCAUGCAUAAAACAUAACAGAGUAUGAACAUGUAUUUUUUUUUUUGAAAUCAUUUGCUCGAUCAUGAGUAAGAAUGAAAGGGCAAAGGAGUUCAUAGAUGAUACCUUGGCUUGAAUGCUGGGCUACUGUGUGAAUCGAGAAUGAGCUAUGGUAGCUGUUCUUGAAUUCGCUGGGUGCUGUUCUUGAGGUUCAGUCCAAGAGAGAUGAAGUGAGUUAAUGAGAGAAAAUGAUUUGGGCGUAGCAGCGGAGGAGAUUAUAUUUGAAGGGGGGGAAUAGUGAGGCGGUGGAGGUGGAGUGAAAUAUCUUGGUGAAGAUGGGUUGGACUUGAUGUGAAG